GAUGAAGAACGCAGCGAAAUGCGAUAAGUAAUGUGAAUUGCAGAAUUCAGUGAAUCAUCGAAUCUUUGAACGCACCUUGCGCUCCUUGGUAUUCCGAGGAGCAUGCCUGUUUGAGUGUCAUUAAAUUCUCAACCUUUAUCUUUUAUUGAUAAAUGGCUUGGACUUGGGGGUUUGCUGGCGAAAGUCAGCUCCUCUGAAAUGUAUUAGCUGGUUGCCUUGUGUGAACUUGUCUAUUGGUGUGAUAAUUAUCUACGCCAUGGGCUGUUUGCCGUUUUAGCACUGCUUCUAACUGUCUGUUAACUCGGACAAUAUAUGACAAUUUGACCUCAAAUCAGGUAGGACUACCCGCUGAACUUAAGCAUAUCAAUAAGCGGAGGA
Molecule: unclassified non-coding RNA, 378 nt
Filed under: soil metagenome
Description: partial contains 5.8S ribosomal RNA, internal transcribed spacer 2, and large subunit ribosomal RNA
Rfam family: 5.8S ribosomal RNA (bases 1-120)
Source: RNAcentral